CCCAAACACAGCGCCUUAACCCGGCUCUCCCCCCAAAAUUCGCGCGCCUGUGUUUAGCCACGGCCCCCCCACCUCGGGCGCCACCCGGCCCCAUCUGCGGCCUCGGUGGGCUCAGGGACGCAGAGCUCACACCCAGAAACAGAAAAAGUCAGCCUCCACUAGUCCCGGGGUCAAUAAUAAUAAACUAACAUUUAUUGAGCUGGGCACCGCGCUAAGUGCUUCACAGAGGUAAUCUCCUCUAAUCCUCAGAGCGACCUAUGAGGUGAGAAAACUGAAGCUUAGCAAGGUUGAAGGACUGACUCAAGGUUACAAGAUGACAAAGUGACAGGACGGGGCUCCAAACCCCUCUGAUGGACUCCAGGGUUACUGCUUUGGCCCAAGACAGACAGAGGAGGAGCGCGGAGAGGUCAAGAGGAGUUCCAGAACCUACAGGCAUGUCCAAGGACAGAGGCGAGACCCAGCCCGCAUCUCCCAGGGGAGCUCCUCGCUAAGGUCCCAGGCUCUUGGCCCGCAGCCAGAGAGAAGUGCGCCCAGGACAAAGCCCAGCACUCAGAGCCCCAGCCCGCGUGGACAGAGUGCUCGGGCUUGGCGACAGGGCGCGGAGUGAGCCCUGGCAACCUUACAGUCCCCCUAGCCUUGAUGCCAUCGAACUCUUGACCUCCGACCUGACACACCGGAGUCUCUACAGGGCAAAACCGUGAAACCCAGAGACCCAGAGUUGUGGACCUGGGCCUGGCUCCUCAGGCGAGUGGUGCCUUCCGUCCCUGGGACUGUGCGCCCUGGCGUGCCGCGGCUGCCCGGGGCCUUGGUCCUUUCCAGGUCCGGUCCUUGGCCAGUUCUGAGCAAGGCCAGCCCCUGCCCCGGCAACAUUCCUGCAGAGUCAGACAAGCUGGAACUGUUGCCAGAGCAGUGGGAAUUGUUGGGUACCCCCAGAGCUUCAGGAAACCAAGGGCAAGUGGGCGACUAGGCCAGCCGACCCCGAUGCCCACUGAUGCAGCAAACGUUCCUCCUGAGUCUUGGGAUUCGCUCUCCCCAGUGCGGACCAAAGACCGGGACCUCAAGGCUGGAUGCACUGUAGGCGGGAUAAGACUUUUAUUAAGCCACAAGAAUGUGGCAAACGUUUCUUUCCAAAUGAGAAAAGUCUUUUUCCUUCUCAAACGAUUUUAAGUGAGAUUUUCGUAAAGAUUUCUAUGUCCUAGGAA
This is a long non-coding RNA of Callorhinus ursinus (northern fur seal), 1202 nucleotides long. RefSeq lists it as uncharacterized. NCBI's taxonomy places the organism in Eukaryota, Metazoa, Chordata, Mammalia, Carnivora, Otariidae. The record is from RefSeq and is a predicted model, not a curated record.